This 497-nucleotide ribosomal RNA is filed under the name uncultured bacterium. Its description in RNAcentral is "partial 16S ribosomal RNA". It matches the Rfam family "Bacterial small subunit ribosomal RNA", at positions 28 to 507 of the family's 1533-position model. The record is from RNAcentral.
GAUGAACGCUGGCGGCGUGCCUAAUACAUGCAAGUCGAGCGAACGGACGAGAAGCGUGCUUCUCUGAUGUUAGCGGCAGACGGGUGAGUAACACGUGGAUAACCUACCUAUAAGACUGGGAUAACUUCGGGAAACCGGAGCUAAUACCGGAUGAUAUUUUGAACCGCAUGGUUCAAAAGUGAAAGACGGUCUUGCUGUCACUUAUAGAUGUAUCCGCGCUGCAUUAGCUAGUUGGUAAGGUAACGGCUUACCAAGGCAACGAUGCAUAGCCGACCUGAGAGGGUGAUCGGCCACACUGGAACUGAGACACGGUCCAGACUCCUACGGGAGGCAGCAGUAGGGAAUCUUCCGCAAUGGGCGAAAGCCUGACGGAGCAACGCCGCGUGAGUGAUGAAGGUCUUCGGAUCGUAAAACUCUGUUAUUAGGGAAGAACAUAUGUGUAAGUAACUGUGCACAUCUUGACGGUACCUAAUCAGAAAGCCACGGCUAACUACGUG